GACGAACGCUGGCGGCGUGCUUAACACAUGCAAGUCGAACGGAAAGGCCCUGCUUUUGUGGGGUGCUCGAGUGGCGAACGGGUGAGUAACACGUGAGUAACCUGCCCUUGACUUUGGGAUAACUUCAGGAAACUGGGGCUAAUACCGGAUAGGAGCUCCUGCUGCAUGGUGGGGGUUGGAAAGUUUCGGCGGUUGGGGAUGGACUCGCGGCUUAUCAGCUUGUUGGUGGGGUAGUGGCUUACCAAGGCUUUGACGGGUAGCCGGCCUGAGAGGGUGACCGGCCACAUUGGGACUGAGAUACGGCCCAGACUCCUAAGGGAGGCAGCAGUGGGGAAGAUUGCACAAUGGGCGGAAGCCUGAUGCAGCAACGCCGCGUGCGGGAUGACGGCCUUCGGGUUGUAAACCGCUUUCGCCUGUGACGAAGCGUGAGUGACGGUAAUGGGUAAAGAAGCACCGGCUAACUACGUG
Molecule: ribosomal RNA, 468 nt
Filed under: uncultured bacterium
Lineage: Bacteria
Description: partial 16S ribosomal RNA
Rfam family: Bacterial small subunit ribosomal RNA
Source: RNAcentral